CCUACGGGUGGCAGCAGUAGGGAAUUUUGCGCAAUGGGCGAAAGCCUGACGCAGCAACGCCGCGUGAUCGAGACGCCCUUCGGGGUGUAAAGAUCUGUCAGUGGGGACGGAACUUGACGGUACCCACAGAGGAAGCACCGGCUAACUCCUUGCCAGCCGCCGCGGUAAUACGGGGGGUGCAAGCGUUUUCCGGAAUCAUUGGGCGUAAAGUGUACGUAGGCGGUACGUCAAGUCUGGUGUUAAAGGCCGAGGCUCAACUUCUGUACGGCACUGGAUACUUGCGAGCUAGAAUGCGGUAGAGGUAGAGGGAAUUCCUGGUGUAGCGGUGAAAUGCUUAGAGAUCAGGAGGAACAUCGAUGGCGAAAGCACUUUACUGGGCCGUAAUUGACGCUGAGGAACGAAAGCCAGGGUAGCAAACAGGAUUAGAUACCCCGGUAGUC
RNAcentral lists this ribosomal RNA (440 nucleotides) under uncultured bacterium. RNAcentral describes it as "partial 16S ribosomal RNA". It matches the Rfam family "Bacterial small subunit ribosomal RNA", at positions 338 to 795 of the family's 1533-position model. The record is from RNAcentral.